Molecule: ribosomal RNA, 497 nt
Filed under: uncultured bacterium
Lineage: Bacteria
Description: partial 16S ribosomal RNA
Rfam family: Bacterial small subunit ribosomal RNA
Source: RNAcentral
GAUGAACGCUGGCGGCGUGCCUAAUACAUGCAAGUCGUGCGAACAGACGAGGAGCUUGCUCCUCUGACGUUAGCGGCGGACGGGUGAGUAACACGUGGAUAACCUACCUAUAAGACUGGGAUAACUUCGGGAAACCGGAGCUAAUACCGGAUAAUAUAUUGAACCGCAUGGUUCAAUAGUGAAAGACGGUUUUGCUGUCACUUAUAGAUGGAUCCGCGCCGCAUUAGCUAGUUGGUAAGGUAACGGCUUACCAAGGCAACGAUGCGUAGCCGACCUGAGAGGGUGAUCGGCCACACUUGAACUGAGACACGGUCCAGACUCCUACGGGAGGCAGCAGUAGGGAAUCUUCCGCAAUGGGCGAAAGCCUGACGGAGCAACGCCGCGUGAGUGAUGAAGGUCUUCGGAUCGUAAAACUCUGUUAUUAGGGAAGAACAAAUGUGUAAGUAACUAUGCACGUCUUGACGGUACCUAAUCAGAAAGCCACGGCUAACUACGUG